Molecule: long non-coding RNA, 777 nt
Organism: Cyclopterus lumpus (lumpfish)
Lineage: Eukaryota; Metazoa; Chordata; Actinopteri; Perciformes; Cyclopteridae
Exons: 3
Source: RefSeq, a predicted model, not a curated record
UAGCUCUCUCUUUCCCUCCACUUGCUUUAAUAUCUCUCUCUGUCACUCUCUCUCUCUCUCUCACCAGGGGUUGAUUUAAUGCCCAGUUGAAUUAUGGGAUGCUUCCCAACACAAGGUGGCCGAUGGGAGGCUUUAAGAUGGAGGACGUUCUUCUCUCUUAAGACGAGCUGAACUUCUCCAAGGCGCCGUGGAGGGUCUUCAGGUCUUCUCUCAUCUGGCUCAGGCUGUUCCGGAUCUUCGCGGGCUGGUCCAGAACCUCCACGCUGCAGGUGAAGGGGUCGUAGCGGACCGCGAAGGGACGCUUGAUGGUUGCAGAGUAUCUCCUGCGGAAUGUGAGAUAAUUUAAGGGAAGGCGGACACCUCCCUCAGCUGAGGGAUGCGCUCCUCCCCGUAGCCCGACUCCUUCUCCAGCUGCUGCAGCCCGUCCAGAAACUGUCUGCAGGCCAGGCCGGGGUAAAUGCUCCUCAGCUGCUGGUACACCUCCCUCCUUUGAAACGUAACCACACAUCACUGUACCUUCAUCAUCAUCAUCCCCCAGCAUGCACUCUGCCUCUCUUAAACGUUCAGCUCUUCCUCACCAUGUGGCCACUUCUUCUGCCGUGUAGUCCACCGUGGGCAGCGGCUCCCCCCUGUGACAAAGACCCUUUAGAGAACGUCUGAAUGGCACUCUUUGUGUUUUUGGGAGAAGACGGAUGAACGUCUGACUCACUGUUUGUACGUGGAGGCCAGUUCCGAGAUGAAAGCCCGUCUCUUUCUGUAUUCUGGAUCGCUGUAUCC